Molecule: ribosomal RNA, 895 nt
Filed under: Pseudocercospora macadamiae
Lineage: Eukaryota; Fungi; Ascomycota; Dothideomycetes; Mycosphaerellales; Mycosphaerellaceae
Description: eukaryotic LSU rRNA
Rfam family: Eukaryotic large subunit ribosomal RNA
Source: RNAcentral
AUUUGAAAUCUGGCGCAAGCCCGAGUUGUAAUUUGUAGAGGAUGCUUCUGGGUAGCGGCCGGUCUAAGUUCCUUGGAACAGGACGUCAUAGAGGGUGAGAAUCCCGUAUGUGACUGGCUUGCACCCUCCACGUAGCUCCUUCGACGAGUCGAGUUGUUUGGGAAUGCAGCUCUAAAUGGGAGGUAAAUUUCUUCUAAAGCUAAAUACCGGCCAGAGACCGAUAGCGCACAAGUAGAGUGAUCGAAAGAUGAAAAGCACUUUGGAAAGAGAGUUAAAAAGCACGUGAAAUUGUUGAAAGGGAAGCGCCCGCAACCAGACUUUGCGGCAGGGUUCGGCCGGUCUUCUGACCGGUUUACUCGCUGUCGGGAGGCCAUCAUCGUCUGGGACCGCUGGAUAAGACCUUAGGAAUGUGGCUCCCCUCGGGGAGUGUUAUAGCCUCUGGUGAAGCCGCGCGUCCCGGUAGCGGACCUCGCCUUCGGCAUGUGUGAUGGCGAAAUGCUGGUCGGCUCCCCCGUCAUUGAACCACUGGCCCAAGGAGUCUAAAGUCUAUGCACAGUGUUCGGUCGGGACCCCCCCUACGCGUAAUUUAAAGUGAACGGAGGUGAGGACCUUUUUGGGGCCCCUAUGACCGACCAAAAUGUCCCCGGAUGCGUUUGAUUCAUAGCAUAGCUGUUGGGGACCACAAAAAAUACUGACCUAGGUCUGAAUAUCCGUUGAGCCAGAGGUAAACUAUGGGUCCGCCCACGCCGAGGGAUUCCGACGUGCAUUGCCGAUCGUCAGGAUCUUGGGCAUGAGGGGGGAAAGCACUCAAUCAGAAGGCAUACUAGUACUCUCGGUCGGUGCCCCAGAUUUCCUUCGGUAUUAAUCACUAGACGGUUCUAGACUUAUUAUGAGG